CUGGCAGAGUGAAAGAGAGGAAAGGCAUGUGGAUUUAAGGAGGGUGUUUAGAUCAAGAACUUAAGAGAGGCUGGGAAGUGUCAUAGGAUUAAGGGAUCUAUGCAAGCUUGUAUGGGUAUUUCCACUUGUGCUGUCCUCACACCUUCUCUGAGAGAUUUUUGUCCCAAACACAAGGACUGCAUGUAUGUUGCAAGAUACAUUGCAGCGCACCACAUAGCCUUGGCUUUUGGCUGUGCCUCUACUAGUGGGGACGUGCCAGCUUGCACCAUGUGAGCACGUGCCCUGCUUUCCUCGAGAAGGAGACCUGGGUGCAGAGGGGCAGAGAAGGAGCUAAGGUGUGAUAUCUACCUUCAGGGUCACUCUGGGACACUCUGAAGUAUUACGGCCAUGGAGACUGUUUCCUCCUACAGAGUUCAACAAUGUAUUCUUCAGAAAACUACUGCAGGAUGGGAAAGCAGCCCUUGAAGAACAGGAGAGCAUCUCUGCGCUCUGGUUACAGAAGCUAUUUCUGAAGAGAAAGGACUUAGGGAGUAGCCUGGCCCAAACAGAAAAUUGUUUCCUGAUCUGUGUGAGACAUCUAAGCCGAGCUUUCUUACUCAAGGAAGAGAAGCUGGAAGAAAGGCUCCGGAUACUACAAGGGUAUAAUUUGCUGUGUCAUCGUUGCAUGCCAAAAAUCUGAAAAGCAGAAUGUGCAAGUGAUUCAGAGGAUAUAUGGAACACAAACCGCCUCUUCAGAAGGCAAAAAUCUCUGCUGAAGAACAGCAACGUUCCCAUGUAUAUGACUGAUAAACAUGAUGAGGAGAAGAACUGGUGACCCUGAGUAUUCCAUUUAGGAUGUCCUUAUUUGCUGGCGAUCUUGUGGUCAUUUUCCACAGCCACCAUCUGGGAUCUUACAAAAAGGUCCAAGCACACUGCCAAGAAGCUGCCUUGAUUCACCGUAUCAUGUUUCUACACAAAGAACAACAUCCUUCCUGGAAUGCUUCCCCUAAGGGAGGACAGCAAGGAAAAAUCUGGGAAAUUACCGUAAGGAUGACACUGGAGCUGGAGGUGGCUGGAAGAAUCACCACAUUUAUGCUCCCUUCCCCUCUCAGUUGAGUUGGAGAGCACAUAAAGAAACCCUGGCCUGCACUCCCUAUCAAGCUUGCAGCGUAUGAUAUGUUGCUGUGGGAGUGUAACUGAUGCGCCUCAUUAGAGUUUGAGAUUGUAUACUACUGCUCUGGGACUGAAACUACACUCAUAUCCAGUAAGAGAAUGGAAUGAAGCAUCUGCUUUUGAACUCUAGGAAACAGCAAAAAAGAGACUGACAGAAACCUGUGGUCACUGAGUGUAACGCACCUUGCUCUUCAAAGCCCCCUCCUUUUCUCACAUGCUAUCUACCAACAUAAAUAAUGCUGGCUUGUGUCACUUCUGGAAAUAACAAGGUUGGCCAUUGGUGGUUCAUGAAAAGAAGCAAGAACAGUAUGUUUUCAUGGUAAGAAGUGGAACAAGAUUGUCAUCGUGCUUAAGACAAGAGUCUGGAGGGAAAACUAGCCUUGCUCUUCCUGAUUCCAUCAGGAGGUUUGUAUCUGAGAUUGCAGGAUCUAUGAGUUCAAAACAUUAAAAGGAGAUAUGAAUCAAGCAUGCCAGAAAAGUUCAGUGAAAGUAAUAUGAACCCAAAACAAUGACUUUUUUCCCCCCACAGCUCUGUUUGCAGUAUGCAAUUAUCAUGAGCUUGUUGGCAGUCCUGUAAUAAUUAGGCACAGCAGCAUGAGUGAAGAAUGUAUCAAUCUUAGCUUACAGUUUCUUUGGUUUUGUUGGUUUAUGCUAACCUCAUCAUACUUAAAUAGUAGUAUGCAUCUUUAUGAAAAAUGUGCAAAAUGAAAAAAAAAUCAAUAUAAGCUAUAGUGGAUCCCUCAAUUUCUAGUAUAAACAUACAAUUUGCAUUGUAGAAGCCAAAGAUUCAUAGAACCAGAAUUUUACCCUAUAAGCUAUGAUUUGCUAACAUAGAUGAGCAGAUAUAUCUGCAUUAGAGAUCAUUGGUUUCAAAAUAAUUUUAAACAAUAAAUCUGAAACCCAGACUUGUAAAAUGCUACAUUUGCAGUGACUGUCUUUGUGGGUACAGUUCACAUAAUGAGGACAGACUUGAAGUACCUAAAGGAUGUGAAAAUCCAGUUCUUACUCAAGGUACCUUUACAAAUCUCAGCCUGUUUAUUCAAUGUAUUUACCUCUGUGCACUUGUCCCUGUGACACAGAUGUAUCAGGGAAACGCACUUCUGUCCUGAAUGGCAAUACUUUUGCAAUUAAGAGAUUUCCUGGAGUUUUCUUUUGGGAUUCAUGUGGGGGCAGAUGGAGCCAUGCUCUGGUCUUCUGAAGACCUUGAAGGGCAGAGCCCUGUUUGUCUCCGUCUCUUCCCAAAUUCUGGGCAGCUGGAGCUGAUGCCAUCCCAGCACUCCUGCCUGGGCAGAAGCAAAGUCUUCCUUAGCAAUACUUGUUCUUGAGCCAAAUCCACAGUCUUCCUAUCAGCCAUGCAUGCUGGCUGGCCCCAAGACAACAAACAGCAACUGAUCCUCUACUCUUCUUGGGGGCUGAAAGUCUGAAUUUGUUUUAUCUUCCAAAUUUUUAAAAACAGGAGUGGAGGUAAUAUCCUAACCAAACAGAGCCUUUGGGGCAGUUGCAAUUCCUACUUUGGUUCUGAAUCAGUCCAAUCCCAGAGACAGGCUGAAUGUAGUCUGUCCACAUUAUCAGCAUAUAUGUGGAAAGUGAGGGACCGUACAAGUGAGUAUUACAGCACUAUGUCAGUAUUGUCCCUUUUUUCUUCCACUUUACUGUGCAGUGGUACCAGAAAGGUGUAUUGAUUAUUUGCCAAAAGGCUAUGGAUUAAAUAAACAAACAACCUCCCUGUCUUCACCUGCCUGAGACUCUCCAAACUGCUUAUCUGCAUGCCAUAUAACAAAGCCAAAAGGCAGGAAACCUUCCUGCCCUCACACUGUUGGCAUGAUACAGCCAAUAUCCCUAGUCUCUAGUACCCCUGAGAAUGAAAAUUAUGAGGUUUAGCUGAGACUCCUGAAAACAACCUUGAACAUGGCUUCUGAGCACCUCAAGAGUUUUUAUAUGCAUACGGAUGUGUACAUAUGUAUGCAUAUAUAAAUAUAUAUAUUUAAAAAAAAGUUAACACACCCAUUCAACUUCCAUUCCUGGCUAGUGGAGUAUUUCCAUUGGGUUUAAGGGAGAGUAGAAUCAAGCCUCAGUUCAGCAAAGUGCUUCACUCUGAGGUUUGAAGAAGUUACUUGUCCCAGAAACUUCAAUUAGGCAUGUCAGCAAAUCCUUUGCUGACUAAGGACUUCCACAGCUCAGCUGUUGUAGAGGGCAGCAUCCAAGCUGGAUGCUAUAGGAUGUUGACCUCUCUCGAGAACCCCAUGCAGCAGCCAACCAUCUGCAAAACAUGCAGAGUAAUCAUAAUAAUUCCCUUGGCAGCCUAUUUCAGGGAGGAAAGGGAAAAGAAAGAGUAGAAAAAAGAAGGAAAUUCAUUUUAGUUUGCAUUGAAAUACUCUCACAAUAAUUGCCUUCACAUUUUUGAGUUUGGGGCUACAUAUUAAAACAUUUCUACUCUCAACAUGGAAUGUUAUAACAAGGUUUUCAGAGCUAAUGAAUGGUACAAGAGGAAAAAGAAAACCCAUCGUACUAGUUUUGUAUUCUUCCCCAUUGACAAAUGUAAAUCUUGACCCUUAAGAGGAAGCAUGUUUUAGGGAUAGUUAGCACUAUAUACCAGUUCCACUCACUUGACACAUAUAAUUUUCAUGUCUUAUUGUAGGGAUUGCCAACUUCCCUGACCCCAUGAGCAAUUUACUGAAAUCUUUGUAUGCCUACAAGCCUAUUGUCCCAGAACCUGUAUGAAUCCCCUCUUUAGGAAAGGUGUACAAUAUUAGGAUCAUGUCUUCCUUCAAGUUAUCUUUAAUAAAACUUUUGUUUGUUUGUUUCU
Cygnus atratus (black swan) is the source of this 3958-nucleotide long non-coding RNA. RefSeq lists it as uncharacterized. The record is from RefSeq and is a predicted model, not a curated record. Lineage: Eukaryota; Metazoa; Chordata; Aves; Anseriformes; Anatidae. The transcript has 11 exons.